RNAcentral lists this ribosomal RNA (305 nucleotides) under uncultured bacterium. RNAcentral describes it as "bacterial SSU rRNA". It matches the Rfam family "Bacterial small subunit ribosomal RNA", at positions 210 to 508 of the family's 1533-position model. The record is from RNAcentral.
AGCUGUCGCCAAAAGAUGGGCCCGCGUCGCAUUAGCUAGUUGGUGGGAUAAAAGCUCACCAAGGCAACGAUGCGUAGCCGACCUGAGAGGGUGAUCGGCCACACUGGGACUGAGACACGGCCCAGACUCCUACGGGAGGCAGCAGUAGGGAAUCUUCCGCAAUGGACGAAAGUCUGACGGAGCAACGCCGCGUGAGUGAUGAAGGUUUUCGGAUCGUAAAACUCUGUUGUAAGGGAAGAACAAGUACGAAUUAACUACUCGUACCUUGACGGUACCUUACCAGAAAGCCACGGCUAACUACGUGC